AGCAGCCGCGGUAAUUCCAGCUCCAAUAGCGUAUAUUAAAGUUGUUGCAGUUAAAAGCUCGUAGUUGAAUUUUGGAUUCUUCCAAUUGGUCCAUCUUUUAGAUGAGUACUGGUUGUGUGGGGUCUAUCCGCCUGGUGAUACGUAAUGUCCUUUAUUGGAUGUUGCGGGUAGUCAGGACCUUUACCUUGAAAAAAUUAGAGUGUUUAAAGCAGGCUUAUGCCGGAAUACAUUAGCAUGGAAUAAUAGAAUAGGACGAAGUUGUUUUAUUUUGUUGGUUUCUAGGACAACCGUAAUGAUUAAUAGGGAUAGUUGGGGGCAUUAGUAUUCAAUUGUCAGAGGUGAAAUUCUUGGAUUUAUUGAAGACUAACUACUGCGAAAGCAUUUGCCAAGGAUGUUUUCAUUAAUCAAGAACGAAAGUUAGGGGAUCGAAGACGAUCAGAUACCGUCGUAGUCUUAACCAUAAACUAUGCCGACUAGGGAUCGGGCGAUGUUGUUUCCAUGACUCGCUCGGCACCUUAUG
This 520-nucleotide small RNA is filed under the name uncultured Archaeospora. Its description in RNAcentral is "SSU rRNA". It matches the Rfam family "Eukaryotic small subunit ribosomal RNA", at positions 569 to 1092 of the family's 1831-position model. The record is from RNAcentral. Lineage: Eukaryota; Fungi; Glomeromycota; Glomeromycetes; Archaeosporales; Archaeosporaceae.